GCAUGUUUGCUGAUGAUCUGGAGUAGUCCAAAGAAUCAACAGACAUCGAUCGAAGGAGUUCGAUCAGCAUCGACCGUCGAAAGGGACUCUACAAUGGGCUAGCACUCGUGAGGAGUCGAUCAGAUCGGAAGCUUCGUGUGGAUGAUCCGUAGAGGCCAGACACACUAUGUGGCUGCAUCAGGAUGAUCAGACUCUCCCGACGGUA
Molecule: long non-coding RNA, 205 nt
Filed under: Elaeis guineensis (African oil palm)
Lineage: Eukaryota; Viridiplantae; Streptophyta; Magnoliopsida; Arecales; Arecaceae
Description: long non-coding RNA (EGUI_LNC047831)
Source: RNAcentral